This is an RNA transcript of Oreochromis niloticus (Nile tilapia), 5312 nucleotides long. It is a transcript of the gene named SRY-box transcription factor 3, with no coding region annotated. Lineage: Eukaryota; Metazoa; Chordata; Actinopteri; Cichliformes; Cichlidae. The record is from RefSeq and is a predicted model, not a curated record. The transcript has 7 exons.
AAGGCCCCACCCCACGCCUGCAAGCCAGAAUCGCGAGUGUUUCCGCCCAUUUUGGAAAUAAUUUCGCUGGAAAACACACACGGAGCAAUAAAUGAGCAGGCAGAGACGAGGGAUUUCAAGGACGCGUGGACUUCAAUUUAAUCGGAGAGGCUGCGAGUGGAGUGGAAGAGUGACACACAGAGGAGAGAAGUUCAUUAUUCUGCUGAAAAGGAAACCAAUGGCUUUCAUGGUCGCCAUGGUAACCGGCCUUUCUUUUGCCGCCAGACCUACGAUAAGAGGGCUGCCUUGCUGGAGGUACUCCUGUUUAAAUGGCUGUUGAUGGAGUCUGGGCUGAGGCUGUAGGCUGCUGAUGUCCCUGCCAUCUUAGAGUCCAUGGUCCUGCUCCCGGGCCUGCUGGCAGUCAGCUGUUGAAGGUGUGUCUAACAGAGGGAUCGGGAAGCAGCAGCAGCCUUGGAAGCAGUGAGAGGUUGACAAAAGGCUGGCUGGGUCCUUGCCAUCAGACCUUCAUCCAUCUACAGUCUACAGGUUUGGGCCUGAAAGACGUGCCAGACCUGCUGCCAAAGCAUCAGCCUCCACCUAACCCUGCAGACAUGGCUAAGCACACACGCAUACACACAUACACACACACACACACGCAAACAUGUAAAAGCGCACCUUAAAAAUAAUUCGUAUAUCUUAAUUACAUUUUCAAGCAUGUAAGUAUCUUUCACUUCCUCAUAUUUCCUUGCAACGCCAUCCUUAUGUGCCUAUGUCCUUGUUUGUGUCUGUAUGCAGAUACACACAGAUUCUCACCCUGUCUGACUUUGAUGAUGAAGUCUUCACAUCACGUGUCAGACCAAGACAAGAUCAAGCUCCAUUCACACGAAGACCCUUGGUGUGUGCUCUCAAGAGUUAACAUAGCUGUCAUCAGCAGAGGAGGUGUGAGUGGUGUGUGAGAAAGCCUCAUUAGUACCAAGGAGCUGCUGAGGUAGCACACGGCUGCCAUUGUGGCCAAUCCAAACAUCAGGUCCUCUCCAUCCGAGCCCCCCACUUCAGAACCCCCAACCAAAUCCCAUUUUCAGGCUCUGCAGCUGCCCUGCUCUGCCAGAGCACUUAGCCAUGUCAUUCUAUCCGGCUCUCCAGGCCUCUGAGGAAACAGGCCUGUUUUGUGCUUGGCCGUCUCUGAUAUGACUCCAGAAAUGGAAAUGAAGCCAUGGAUCUUCAUUAGGAGAGGCAGGUGUCCAGAGAGAUUCAGCCCAGGUGAAGAAUCCGGGAGGGGGGCGCCUAGUGAGGGUGAAGAUGGGUGAGGGGGAAUUGGAUUGGUAGGGGUUUCGAUCCUUAAAACCCAGUGAUGGGCCUGUUACCCUCCAUACGCUCUCUCUCUCACACACGCACACACACCGAGGCGCAUACACACUUCUUUGCCAUCACCCCCUUACCCCAUCCCACUCCUCUACCCCAGCACUUAAUUGCCCAUGUAAUGAGCUGCAGUGAAUGGGAUUACUUGUGUGGAGGUACUUGAGGACCCUGUGCAUCGGGGGCACCUCCUGCAGGCCCUCAUCUCCAGGGAAUACAUUUAGGAUGAUGUUUUCUAUGAAGCACAGGGGCAAAAACCUCAGCUCUCCUCUCUGCAUCUGGUCUAGUUACAUUAAACCCUCCACAGCUUGCCCCUCCUUUCCUACUCUCUCACCCCCUCUGGGCCUUUUGUUUCCCUAAUUAUUCAUUACAGAGAGGUGGCCUUCCCUUUGAAACCUGUGGAGGUGGAUGAGGCUUGGAGCAGACCACGAAGCAUCGGAGCAUCCCGAAGCCCGAGAUGUCUUUGUGACAGGACACCUGUUAUUUCCAUCCAUCCUCUUUCAACUUUGCCCCCUCUCCUCUUACCGCACAUUAACAAAUCAGAGAGGAAAAUAAUCCUGGCAUAUCUAUAUUAAUGUAUACCAACAGUUCAUUGUAUUUGAUGUAUAGUAUGAUGCUUUGUUUUCAUUUAAGCGAAGGAACAGUGACAUGAAUUUUAAUGUUAACUUUUUAAUGCAGUCUAAACUAGUAGAGACAAGCAGAGCUGUUUGAUCAAUAUCAUGUAAAUCAGUGACAUGCUCAGAAAGCCUCUACUUUGGAGGUUAUGCAAAUGUUAUUUUGUUAGUUCCAUUAAGCAAAACAGACUGUACAUUCCUCUUAAUCUGUGUGUAAAGUGUGAAGGAGCACUCCCCAUGGUGCCCUGAGCUGCUUCUCUUCUCACGCUGUUUUUAGUAAAAUAUUAGCCCCCUCAGCCCUGUGCUGGGCGGCUGACAAAUAGAGGGCUGUCUUCCCCCUUCUCUCACAGGGCUGAGGGUUAAUGAUCCCAGUUUCAGGGGUUAAAGCUUGCCAGUAGGCCUUUCUCCUGCACCCCAACAGAUGUUGCUAGGACUUUAAUGUGGUUAUCAAAUCAGAGUGCCCUCUAAGCCCCAGGAGCUCAUUGUGUGUCGGUGCAUUCCAGGCCCUCGCCGUGGUGACAAGGCAUCCUGGGGGCCAAGCUGGGCUCCCGCUGAGCCUUCCAGCAGCUCCUCAGAGCUGACAGCUUGGGCAGCCCCUCUCCCCAUACCACCUCCGCCUCCACUAGCUUCUCUCUGUUUCUGUCUCCGAUCCUAUGCCCUCUGUGUCAUAAAGUCAUCCUCCGUUUCCCCCUCUGUCCCACAGUGGCCCUUGCUGGUGUGCUCCUCACACAAAUAGGCCCACUCACCCACUUUCACUACCCCACUCACAUUCUUGGUCGCACACAUCUAUCCAGCUUAGACACGCACAUGCCCACCAUGGUGGCAUUUAUUUAAAUAUGUGUACAAAACUGGAAACUAAAAAGUGUACUAAGGUGCUUUAUAAGUCAGUUUGGGCAAACUCAGUCUGUGCAUCUAAACACUGAACUGAAAGAAUUCUGAUUGGUGUGUAAACAUAUUAUAACUUUAAAGAGCUCAUUUAGAAAAUCCCUUAUGCAAGUGUUAAAUGGGAAAAGUUUGUGGCCGUCCUUAAAGAUACCUAAAAAUGAAAGUGAAAAGUGACUUUUUAUUAGAGGGUUUAACGAAGAAGCAGAUUCUAGAAGUUACAUGAUCAUUUGUGUUCAUAUAUUUCUUAAAGAAGUACCGAAUAACACCCAUAUCAUCAAAAAAAAAAAAUUGGAACAUUAAUUUAAAGGAACUUAAAAAAGUUAAAAAUUCCCAAUCCUGAAAACUUGCCGGCUUGUAGAUGACAUGAAAAUAUCCCUGUAGUGAGGUGUGGUUCUGUCUAGAACAGGAAAUUCAGGAUGGACUGAAAAGAGGUGAUGAUUUGUUAGUCUAAUCACUUCUGUGUUCUAUAAAGCGUGUCUAUGUUUUAUAUAUAAAAAUGCAAGUUUAAAAAAAUCAAAUGAUCUUCCGGUAAUCGCCUAACAGUUUUUAUUGCUAGCAUUUUUCACGAUGAUGCAACAUUUAAACGAUGCUGUAUAUGUCCACAAAUACAAGGCGCUAUGAUAAACAGCGCAUGUAAACUCAUUAGAAACUGUAAACAGGUUGAGUUUUCAUAGGUGUCACAAAAGCCUCCUGAAUGAAUGGGUCAUGGUCUGGAGGCGAUACUAGAGACUGGGGUCAAUCUGCGCCUUUCUGCAUGUACAGUAUCAAUGGCAGCAGCUGCGAGAUUGUUUGUACACAGAUGCAGGGGUGCUUGAUUAUAAUUGCCUUGCAGCUGCGCUCCGGGCAUUGAAUUAGGUGCAGUUUUUUUUCUUUUUCCCCUUGGUGGCUCAUAUUGUGCGCAAGCCAUUAAGAGCAGGAAUGUGGGAAACAGUUGUAAUUAAAGUAUUCUGUAACUCAAUUAAGGACUCUUCCCCUACAGUUUCCCCCUGAGCCCUAACUGCUAUCCUACACCUAUUCCCUUCUGCAGGGGAUCAAAGGGUGUUUAUAGGCUGUGGCCUCUUUAUCGUCACUCGCCUGGCCCAGAGUUUCACUCGUUUAACUAAUCUCUGCGCUGGUUGCAAUAAGAAAGAGGAAUUUGUUAUGUGAAAAAUUGAAGGCAAGAUGGUAUAUGAGGUGGAGUUAAAACAGUGAAGUGGAAUAAAUGGAGAAUUGGUGUUUCAUGGAGUGCUGUGAACCUGCUUACCAUGAAGAGGUGAGGCACUCAUUAAAGCCAUGAGUCAUUUUUCAUAAGCUGUUAUCAAUUCACUGUGCACAGAAGAUGGAUUGAUGACAAUUAUACUGAUGAAAACCUCACAUACACUUUUUUGGCAGGAAUAGAGCAAUUAAGAGAUUCAUGCCAUCAUUAUUUUGAAGUUAAUUUCUUAAAAUAAAACAAUUUGCGAGACAGAUAACCGUCUUUUUAAAAUUUAAAAUACAUUCUUUAAUAUGCACAUUUGGCAUUACUUUUAUAUAAACCAAAUAGUUUUUAUUGCAAUAAAAUUAAAUCCCUUUGUUCUAAUUCCCCCAAACUGAUGCAGGCUGGCUGCUGGGUAAUGUAUCCAAAUACUCUGAACAAUGACAGGCAACAAUCAAGGUGCUCAAUUAACUGUAUAACGAUUAAGACAUCAAUUACCAAUUUGAUUGAUGAGACCAAAUGAUCCGAUUCAUUUUCUUCAUCCAGCGUAAAAACUGGAAGCAGCAGUAUGAGAAAAUUUGUUGAUUAAUGGUGUGCAUGUAGAGAAACCCCUUCUCUGUGAUAAUAUGUGCAAUUUAAUAUGCAAACUCACAGUAAACAUUAAAAAUAGCGUUUGCUAAAUAGGUUUAAAAUCCAUAAUAAAAAUUACACAAUAAAGAGGGAACAAACAGACUUACAUUAUAAGAAAAAAGCCAAAUGCAUUUAAAGAGCAGGCAUAAAUAUAUAUAUUUUUUAACUUAGUUAAUUCUUUAUAAUACAUGUAAGUGUUUAAUGUAUCAGAUGAAUGAAUUUCUUUUCUCUGUUGGUAUUGAUGUCGAUGAUGUUCCUCUGCCCCUCUUACAAAGGCCAAAACAAUGUUUGAAGAGCGCCUUGAGACCAGCUUGGACUAAGGCUUUAGUUUUUAUUCUGUUCAUGUUGUCAAUGUGUAGAGGGAUAAUUGAGGCGAUCUUUGACUAUGGGAUCUAUUUAUACAGGGCAUAAUUCCCUCCGUAUUCAGGCAUUAUCAUGGUGUCAGAACAAGCACAAUGGCACAAUAAGGUCAAUAUAAUGAAACUCCAAAACAAUAUGGUGUCAUUCGUAUAAUAAAAUGUGAGCCACUCUCGGUUUGUUUAGUCCCGCAACAGUUGUGAUCUUGUACUGAACUCUUUGUAAAAUUAUUUGCAAAUAAAAAUGCAUUUUGUGGAAGCCGAUCUGACAUAUGACAAAGGGUCUUAAGUUAUUCUGUAAUAAAAUUCUUAAAAAAA